GCGNGNUACGAUUGCCCUUGAGUUUGAUCAUGGCUCAGGACGAACGCUGGCGGCGUGCCUAACACAUGCAAGUCGAACGGCCCGCCCCAUCAGAUUCCUUCGGGGAGAAGAUGGGUUACCGGGCAGUGGCGGACGGGUGAGUAACGCGUGGAGAACCUAUCUUACAGUUGGGGAUAACCUGGCGAAAGUCGGACUAAUCCCAAAUACACUCUUUAAGUAGCAUUACUGAAAGAGGAAAGGUGCUACGGCAUCGCUGUAAGGUGGCUCCGCGUCGGAUUAGCUAGCUGGUGGGGUAACGGCUCACCAGGGCAACGAUCCGUAGCUGGUCUGAGAGGAUGAUCAGCCACACUGGGACUGAGACACGGCCCAGACUCCUACGGGAGGCAGCAGUGGGGAAUCUUCCGCAAUGGGCGAAAGCCUGACGGAGCAACGCCGCGUGAACGAAGAAGGCCUUCGGGUCGUAAAGUUCUGUCCUCAGGGAAGAACCCUCAUGGUAGGGAAUGACCAUGAGCUGACGGUACCUGGGAAGGAAGCCCUGGCUAACUACGUGCCAGCAGCCGCGGUAAUACGUAGAGGGCAAGCGUUGUCCGGAAUCACUGGGCGUAAAGGGUACGUAGGCGGAUAUAUAAGUCAAAUGUGAAAGGCACCGGCUUAACCGGUGAGCUGCAUUUGAAACUGUAUAUCUUGAGUUCAGGAGAGGAGAGUGGAAUUCCUGGUGUAGCGGUGGAAUGCGUAGAUAUCAGGAAGAACACCAGUGGCGAAGGCGGCUCUCUGGCCUGAAACUGACGCUCAGGUACGAAAGCUGGGGUAGCAAACGGGAUUAGAUACCCCGGUAGUCCCAGCCGUA
This 847-nucleotide ribosomal RNA is filed under the name uncultured bacterium. Its description in RNAcentral is "bacterial SSU rRNA". It matches the Rfam family "Bacterial small subunit ribosomal RNA", at positions 1 to 804 of the family's 1533-position model. The record is from RNAcentral.